GAAGUAGCUAAACUGAAGCCUCUCAAAGAUUUGACUUCUCUGUUCCUGGGAGACAAUCCUGUUGCCAACCUGCCCCAUUACCGUCUCUACACCAUUUUCCAUUUGCGGUCACUGGAGGAUCUUGACGGGCAACAAGUGACCAAUCGGGACAGAGAGGAGGCUCACGAGAGGUUUAAUUUAGAAGAGGUCGAAAAUCUAGAAAAGGACCUGGAGAGGACAGCGAAAGAGGCAGAGGACUUAAGAAACAAGCAGUCUCGUCUCCUUGAACAGCUUCAGCAACAAGAAGACCAGAACAAAUCACUGAAGCAAAAAAUCCAGCAACAGAAGCAGAAUUGUAAAGAGCUAGAGAGUUCGCUGGAGACAAAAAAUGAACUGCUGAAGCAGAAGACAGUAGAAUUAACCAGAGCCUGCCAGAAACAGUAUGAAUUGGAACAAGAGCUGGCUUUCUAUAAAAUCGACGCCAAGUUUGAACCGUUGGGUUAUUAUUACCCAGCAGAGGUAACUGUUUGAAAAUGCC
Molecule: non-coding RNA, 517 nt
Organism: Pogona vitticeps (central bearded dragon)
Lineage: Eukaryota; Metazoa; Chordata; Lepidosauria; Squamata; Agamidae
Source: RefSeq, a predicted model, not a curated record